Long non-coding RNA from Ruditapes philippinarum (Manila clam), 593 nucleotides. RefSeq lists it as uncharacterized. The transcript is spliced from 2 exons. Lineage: Eukaryota; Metazoa; Mollusca; Bivalvia; Venerida; Veneridae. The record is from RefSeq and is a predicted model, not a curated record.
UCUAUGGUGGUGCCAUUAAUUAUAAUAAUGAAAAUGAAUGACAUGCAUUUAAUUUAUUUUACUGGUUCAUGUAUAAACUUUUUAAGGCUAUUGAAGUUGUUUGCCAAUUAGUACAUAAUCAGAUUGUGUAGGUCAUGACAACAUCUCCGCUGUUUAAUAUAUGUAGAAAAGUUGAGCUUAAAAUGAUCAAAUCACAAAAUCUUGAAGAUAUGAGCCAAUACACUUCAUGAGAACACUUCUGUGAAAUCUUAGUUGAAAUCAGUUGAGAAAAUUGAAUGAGCAGUUGCACACAAAUCCGUUUUUUUUUUUUCACCUGUUGUAACAGCCAUCUGCAUUAUUCACCAAUCUACUAACAGUACCUGUAUUUUCUUUGGGAAAACCUGGUUACAUAUUACUUACAAGGGGAAGAGAACCUCAACAGUUCUCAUCAAUAUAAAUGUACAAUAAACUGCAUUAACAAACGGUUAGCUGAGAAAGCUUUGGAAUGAUAAAGAUAGGACAAAAGAAGAUACAUGAAGCAAAAAGUAACAGGGGUAAAUCAUUUAAACAUAAAAUGUCACAAAAGUUUUUAUUCUACAAGAAAAAAAGUUACU